UGGGGAAUAUUGGGCAAUGGGCGCAAGCCUGACCCAGCAACGCCGCGUGAAGGAAGAAGGCUUUCGGGUUGUAAACUUCUUUUGACAGGGGAAGAGCAGAAGACGGUACCUGUCGAAUAAGCCACGGCUAACUACGUGCC
RNAcentral lists this ribosomal RNA (140 nucleotides) under uncultured bacterium. RNAcentral's name for it is "partial 16S ribosomal RNA". It matches the Rfam family "Bacterial small subunit ribosomal RNA", at positions 355 to 509 of the family's 1533-position model. The record is from RNAcentral.